GUCUUUUUGAAAAUAAUUUAAAGUCUAACCUGCCCACUGAAUAUUAAAUGGCCGCAGUAUUUUGACUGUGCAAAGGUAGCAUAAUCAUUAGUUUUUUAAUUAAGAACUGGAAUGAAAGGUCGAACGAGAGAAUAACUGUCUCUUUAUAAAUUAUUUAGAAUUUUAUAUUUAAGUUAGAAAGCUUAAAUAAAAUUAAAAGACGAGAAGACCCUAUAGAGUUUAAUAUAGCUUUUAUUAAUUAUAUUAUAUAGAAUUAUUAAAUUAUUUUUUUAGGUUAUAUUUAAUUGGGGUGAUUAAAAAAUUUCUUUAACUUUUUUUUUAUAAAGUCAUUAAUUUAUGAUUUAUUGAUCCAAUUUUAUUGAUUAUAAGAUUAAAUUACCUUAGGGAUAACAGCGUUAUUUCUUUUAAGAGUUCUAAUCGAUAAAGAAGUUUGCGACCUCGAUGUUGGAUUAAAAUUAAAUUUUGGUGUAGAAGCUAAAAGGUUAGGUCUGUUCGACCUUUAAAAUUUUACAUGAUCUGAGUUUAAACCGGUGUGAGCCAGGUUGGUUUCUAUCUUUAAUAUAGUUUAAUAUUUUAGUACGAAAGGACCAAAUAUUAAUAAAAUUUAUUUUUGAAUUGAUUAUUAUUAAUUAAAAA
RNAcentral lists this ribosomal RNA (636 nucleotides) under Lomechusini gen. 1 sp. HE-2012. Its description in RNAcentral is "partial 16S ribosomal RNA". It matches the Rfam family "Bacterial large subunit ribosomal RNA", at positions 1825 to 2767 of the family's 2925-position model. Lineage: Eukaryota; Metazoa; Arthropoda; Insecta; Coleoptera; Staphylinidae. The record is from RNAcentral.